RNAcentral lists this long non-coding RNA (888 nucleotides) under Monodelphis domestica (gray short-tailed opossum). Its description in RNAcentral is "lncRNA (ENSMODG00000030456.2)". Lineage: Eukaryota; Metazoa; Chordata; Mammalia; Didelphimorphia; Didelphidae. The record is from RNAcentral.
UCUGAACAGACUUAGCAUUUGGUCCGUCUAUGUUUGGUGUACAUUCAGGAGGAAGGGCUCCCGGAAGUUGCUGCUCUGUUAGUUCUUUGUACUUCUCCUUUACCUCUUCUGAUGUUCCCUUAUCAGGAAACAUUGAGGAAAUGGCUUCAAAAAUCUUGUCAAAAGGAAAUUUCUGAGGUGGGUGCCUUUCUUUAUCAUCAUCUCUGUUAUCCUCUAAAUCUUUUUGUUUUUCAUCUCUCAAAUCAGGAUCAUCCCCAUCAUCAUUAUCAUCUUCAUCAUCACUGUAUUGACCAAGAGCAUUCACCAACUCCACAAAAAUCUCAUCAUUUAUAAACCCAUAUUCUCUAUCUCCAUGUACUUUCCCAUCAUAAUUUUUAAUUAAUUCUUCAAUGAAAGUUCCAUCCUGAUCAAGGAAAAUCCAAAUCACUGGUCACAGAACAAGAAGUCAUGAUGUUUACAGGCUGUAUCCUUCGCUGUUUCCAUUCUUGGUUUAAGAUUUCUGUCCUUUCUAGAAUCUUCUACCGAUUAGAAUUAAACAUACUCUUUACUUCAUCAGCUUGUCUGAACCUCUUGAGCUGCCUCAGUCUCAUGUAUUCAGAUUUUACACGCUUCCACCAACAAACUGGUCCCUUCUCGGAUUUCUUUCCAGUCUGGCCCAUGAUUGUCCCCUGAACAGAAAUCAGACGACCCUGACUCCAGCCCCAGCUCAGCUACUAAUAACUUGUUGUGACAGGACCUUGGCAGUCACUUCUCUUCUCUGGGUCUCAGUUUCCUCAUCUUCUUUCCCUCGCCCCAGCCCGCACCUCUCCCCAUGUGCUGCUCCCGCGCGCCAUCGCCGCUGGUCCUUCGCUGCUUUCUCUGUCCCUGUGGGUGUCUGUAAAGAUAAUU